UACGGAGGGUGCAAGCGUUGUUCGGAAUUAUUGGGCGUAAAGGGCGUGUAGGUGGCUCGUCAAGUCCGGUGUGAAAUCCCACGGCUCAACCGUGGAACUGCAUUGGAAACUGGCGAGCUCGAGGGUUGGAGGGGGUCGCGGAAUUCCCGGUGUAGAGGUGAAAUUCGUAGAUAUCGGGAGGAACACCAGUGGCGAAGGCGGCGACCUGGCCAAUCACUGACACUGAGACGCGAAAGCGUGGGUAGCAAACAGG
This 253-nucleotide ribosomal RNA is filed under the name uncultured bacterium. RNAcentral describes it as "partial 16S ribosomal RNA". It matches the Rfam family "Bacterial small subunit ribosomal RNA", at positions 524 to 776 of the family's 1533-position model. The record is from RNAcentral.